Molecule: ribosomal RNA, 443 nt
Filed under: Bacillus halotolerans
Lineage: Bacteria; Bacillati; Bacillota; Bacilli; Caryophanales; Bacillaceae
Description: bacterial SSU rRNA
Rfam family: Bacterial small subunit ribosomal RNA
Source: RNAcentral
AGAUGGGAGCUUGCUCCCUGAUGUUAGCGGCGGACGGGUGAGUAACACGUGGGUAACCUGCCUGUAAGACUGGGAUAACUCCGGGAAACCGGGGCUAAUACCGGAUGCUUGUUUGAACCGCAUGGUUCAAACAUAAAAGGUGGCUUCGGCUACCACUUACAGAUGGACCCGCGGCGCAUUAGCUAGUUGGUGAGGUAAUGGCUCACCAAGGCAACGAUGCGUAGCCGACCUGAGAGGGUGAUCGGCCACACUGGGACUGAGACACGGCCCAGACUCCUACGGGAGGCAGCAGUAGGGAAUCUUCCRCAAUGGACGAAAGUCUGACGGAGCAACGCCGCGUGAGUGAUGAAGGUUUUCGGAUCGUAAAGCUCUGUUGUUAGGGAAGAACAAGUACCGUUCGAAUAGGGCGGUACCUUGACGGUACCUAACCAGAAAGCCACGGC